UUGAAGUUGGCCUUACUGGCAAGGCAUAGUUUUUCCGAGUGCUCCUCUGUAAUGCUGGGCCCAAAACAGCACAGAGAUCCAACAGGACAGCUCGAUGAAGUCGGAACUGGCUCUGAGGCCACU
Molecule: long non-coding RNA, 123 nt
Organism: Sander lucioperca (pikeperch)
Lineage: Eukaryota; Metazoa; Chordata; Actinopteri; Perciformes; Percidae
Exons: 3
Source: RefSeq, a predicted model, not a curated record